GUCCUACGAGAAAGUAAACGUCUGGUUGUCUGCUGGCUGCAGCAAUGCGCUCAGAAAGGAAGUGUGGCUUUGAUUCGCUUCUCCAACAAUGCCAAGAUGUGAAAGUAAUGGGCAACGCGAGUGAAACAAGCGAGAAAUUGGUGGGAUGGGCUAACCACACGUUCAGACCAGUCUAGUGCGUAUUCUCAGCCGGAAUGUUUCGAAACGGAGGAUUGCGUUAGUAGGAGGCUUUAGGCUUUACCCCAAGGUAGAAGGAUACUGAAGCCUGAAGCAGCAAGCUGCGCUGGCGAUAUCAUUAUACUAGACGAAGCCAUUGCAACGUGACAAUGUGAGAAAGUCAACAAAUAUAGAAGAGGAGAAAAGGCUGAAAGAACGAAUAAGAAAUGAAGGAUAAGUCCUGUAAAAUUCUACUAUCGAUAGAAGUGCUUGUGACUAUUUUCUACCUACUGCUAGAGCGUGAAAGUAAGUUUGAACGGAAGAGAUGAGCUUCUCUUGAUGUUGAUGUGGAUUACGUCGACAAUGCUGAAGAAUCUGAUCAGUGUCCUGGUGUUAGUCCUGGACUCCAGUACGUAGCAUUCGCAGAUUGUUGUUGGCUGCUUUGUAUAAAAUGGAAAUUCCAUGAGGUCACAAUUUAAACGUCAGAAGGCACUCUAAGACAUUAAAGAGUAUCUCAAGUAAAAGAAAGCCAUCAAUAAUUAUAUGUUUAGGUUGUGAGAGUUGAUUGAAACUUCUGAAGAUUGUAAUCAAUUAUCAACAAUCCUCCCACCCAUCCU
Molecule: long non-coding RNA, 773 nt
Organism: Corticium candelabrum
Lineage: Eukaryota; Metazoa; Porifera; Homoscleromorpha; Homosclerophorida; Plakinidae
Exons: 3
Source: RefSeq, a predicted model, not a curated record